This 433-nucleotide ribosomal RNA is filed under the name uncultured bacterium. RNAcentral describes it as "partial 16S ribosomal RNA". It matches the Rfam family "Bacterial small subunit ribosomal RNA", at positions 29 to 507 of the family's 1533-position model. The record is from RNAcentral.
AGCGAACGCUGGCGGCAGGCCUAACACAUGCAAGUCGAACGAACUCUUCGGAGUUAGUGGCGGACGGAUGAGUAACACGUGGGAACGUGCCUUUUGGUUCGGAAUAACUCAGGGAAACUUGUGCUAAUACCGAAUGUGCCCUUCGGGGGAAAGAUUUAUCGCCAUUAGAGCGGCCCGCGUCUGAUUAGCUAGUUGGUGAGGUAACGGCUCACCAAGGCGACGAUCAGUAGCUGGUCUGAGAGGAUGACCAGCCACACUGGGACUGAGACACGGCCCAGACUCCUACGGGAGGCAGCAGUGGGGAAUCUUGCGCAAUGGGCGAAAGCCUGACGCAGCCAUGCCGCGUGAAUGAUGAAGGUCUUAGGAUUGUAAAAUUCUUUCACCGGGGACGAUAAUGACGGUACCCGGAGAAGAAGCCCCGGCUAACUUCGUG